Oncorhynchus tshawytscha (Chinook salmon) is the source of this 663-nucleotide long non-coding RNA. The record is from Ensembl. NCBI's taxonomy places the organism in Eukaryota, Metazoa, Chordata, Actinopteri, Salmoniformes, Salmonidae.
UGCAAUAUAACACCCCAUCAGGUGUCCUGUUGGUGGCAAUAUAAAACCCCAUCAGGUGUCCUGUUGGAGGCAAUAUAAAACCCUAUCAGGUGUCCUGUUGGUUGCAAUAUAAAACCCCAUCAGGUGGAUUUAUAAAAGUCAGCAAAUUAAGGCAGAUAACAGAAGAAUACAUGUUCACUGUUCAACGUAUAGAACAAUCAGAAAACAUAUAGACAGUAUGAAUGGGAGCAUCAUGCAUUAACUCCUACACCCAUCAAACUCAACUCAGGACCUCCAAGCCAGAUCCACUGCCUUUUUUCAUUGUUCCCCUCUAAAUCAGGGACUGAUUUAGACCUGGGACACGAGGUGUGUGCAAUUAUCCUGUAGAACAGUAAACCAGCAGGUUCUAGAACUGGUAGGGUAAGAGUUGAAUACCCCUGUCCUAUAGGAGGCUCACUAUAGGCUGGCUGUAGAACAGUAAACCAGCAGGUUCUGGAACUGGUAGGGUAAGAGUUGAAUACCCCUGUCCUAUAGGAGGCUCACUAUAGGCUGGCUGUAGAACAGUGUAGGAUGGGAUAUGUACCUCAGGCUUUUUGCAUAAUAUAGCAUUUUGUUUUUCUCCACAAAACCUUGAUAUUUGAUCAUUUCAUUUACAAUAGAAUGUGAUCUCGGUCACAACCAGAC